CUCAUUACAUUUAACUUCCUUAAAAUGACAUUUCUGAGUUCAAAUGAAUAAGCAGUGGGAAAUAACCUAAGGCUGAACUAGGUUUAUAUUGCAUCGGAAUGUGACUGGAUUGUGAGGAGGUGCAACAUUUUCAAAAUGUAAUAUUAAACUUACAUUGUGCCAAAAAA
Molecule: non-coding RNA, 167 nt
Organism: Pimephales promelas (fathead minnow)
Lineage: Eukaryota; Metazoa; Chordata; Actinopteri; Cypriniformes; Leuciscidae
Source: RefSeq, a predicted model, not a curated record